AGAUGGGUAUGAGAUAUUGAUUUUAGUUCAAUACUACUUGGCUUUCAUCAGAAGUGCAAUGGGUAUGUAGCUAAUUAAACAUAUUGAUUACUUUGAAUUGAUUAUUUUCAUUGAUAUGUUGAUCACAUAGAAUUAAAUAAUAUGUUUUUCGAAGAAACAAAUAUUAAUCAUUGCAGUUAUGUUUUAUCCUUAACUCCUCGAGUUUUAAUCCUUUUAUUUUACUAACUCAUAUAAUUAACAAUGACAGUAGCAACCUGUUAUAAGUGGAUAAAAAUUAUGUCAGUAACACAAAUUAUGGAUGACUUCUUCUAUAAAAAAAAUUAAUCCAACCGAGACAUCGUUUCAGUAUAAACCGACGAUGGCUAACCUAGCUAUGUCCCAUAUUGUCUCUACUAAAAUGGCUAUCUCAUUAAGAGUCUGAAAUGGGCAUGAAAUUGAUUUUAAAAUAGGGAGCGUAAAGCCGAGGAUAGAAAUGGUCAAAAUGACUAUUUACAAUCAAUUAUUGAUGGCAAUUGGUGACUUGCUGCGAUUUUUUUAAUCAAAUUUUGAGAAGCACAGAAUGCUUUCUUACAUGAAAUGAUUUUUCACAGAGUCUGAGCUCUGAAAAUGAAAAUCGACACGUCAUUGAAUGUUUUGAGCAACAGGAAAAUCGUUAUCCUCUAAAAACUCGGCCUGUUUUGAGUGGCAUGUUCGCGGCGACUGUUUCAAAAGCCGUUGCACGGGGAUUCCGAACUACACAACGUAACAAAAAAAAUUGAGCGGUGGCCUUCGCAAUUUUUGCACCCUCUCUAAAUUACGAUUAACCAAAAUCGGAGAAAACUAUUCGAAUACAUCGCUAAACGAAAAAGAUAAGGACAUGCCUAGUAAAUAUAUAACGAUAAUACCAACAAAUCAAGAUUCUGUAAUAAAAAAUAAUUCUUAGUACACAAUCAUGACUAUGGCAACUAUAUUUUAAGAGUCUUGCUUACACAGAAUAAACAGACUGGCUCAUACUUGAUUGUAAUUGAUAGUGGUUGUAUACCAAUAAUUAAUACGUUCGCUACAAAGUGCAGUGCCCGAUGCGGACGAAUAGCUUACAGUCUAAUUAUUUCUCAGCGAGUAUGUUUUGGUACACUCGGCACUUUCAAAUGAAUAUUUAUUUAAUGUUGUUCGAUAUCUAUUUUUGUGUCCCAACGUUUACUUUUAUUAAUGUAUAAAAUGUGAGUUUUAAUUUAUUUAGCAUAUCGUUAUUAAGGGGUUACAUAUAUUUAAAACAGUUCGAAAAGCGAAAAAUAUAUUGUCAAAAUUCUUAAAUUUCAUUGUCUUGCAGUCUUGAGAGAUGCCUGUUUGGUAUCAAAAAAAUCCAAUGGUCAUGUCGUAACAUUUCUCAAAUAAAUACUGUAGAUAGUAAUACAUUAAGCUACAAUUUAGCUUUUUUUAAUUUUAAUCCAGCUAUGUCAGUACUGCAGUAUGCCGUGAGGAAUUCCCACUAUUCAGACUAUUUGAAUACCGUACCAUUAACUAUAAAAAUAGAAUAGGAUUCGGUAUUCUGGACUCAAUUCAUGUAUUCUAGAUUACUGAAAUAGUAAAUUAUUCCAUAUUGCCCAUCCCUACUGCCCUAGUAGCCACUUUGAUUCACAAGAGCCAGAACUCAGAACAAGUUGCCCGCAUGAGUGACCUUGUAAAAUCUAUAUUAUCCACAUUAAAAUGGGGGUUUCAAACAGUUUUAUACUACAGAGCAGACCAAAAUGAUUGAUUGUUCUAAUAUAUUUCUCAUCCUGCAGUUCUGUCAUUAUCAUGUUACAGUGUUUUAGACAGGAAGAAAAACUUGGGGACCCUUCAAAGCAUAAAUAAGAUAGAUCCUAUGGCAGUAUGAUGGUCAACAAACAGACAAAUUACCACCGGUACGGUAUCUAUCUCCUGCCUUAACAUUAGUUGAUAUCUCUUUACCUAGCGGUGUCUUUGUUCCAGUCGCCCAUGACCGUGAUUCGCCAGAACAUCUAGUCCAGUAAACCGAGUAAAGAAUUACAACACCACUCAGCCACUAGGUGCGUCCGAGCUUGAAGGGUUGGAAUGGAGUGUAUUCAUUAUCGCCGCUGAGCGUCGCCAUUUUGUUUUUUUAUGUGGGAAUGCGCGGGAAAGUACUUUCUUCUACCCCGCGACGUUGGACUGGUUUGGGCUUUUCGAUUGCAAUGGCGGCUCGUGCGUCUGGUGGUUCCAAAUUGCAUUGCUGCGUACCGUUGUGUAAUGGCGAUAGCCGUUACUCACCAGACUUAUCGUUCCACUCUUUCCCCAAAAAUGAAGAGAGCGUGGAUUCACAGUAUUCGUCGCGAUCCUGGUAAACAUUUUCAAAUUACACCAAGCACGCGAGCUUUUGGCAACCAUUUCAGACCCUAAGACAUAUAUGAGAAGCCUUUUGGUCGACGCCGUUUGCACCACAACUCAGUUCCAUCAAAAUUUAGCUGGACAAAGUUAAUUGCAGAGAGACCACUGCCAAAUAGACUGAGCAAUUCUUAAAAUGCUGUAAAAUGGAGUGAACUUCACUAUCACAUACCAACAACGCAAAAGCAAUGUGAUUAUUGGACACGAAAUGAACCUAAGAAUGUUUCCCCAAGCAUCGACUUCUUUGUUUACUUUGUGACAUUGGCCAAUCAGCAAGAUGCAAAAAGUGACGUAACAAUGCAUCCGCUCAGACACUUUUCUCACUUGCACAGAUUUUAAAGCGUGGUCGUAAACAAUGCCUCGUUUUCGCAUUUUUUAAUUAUAUUCGUUAGCUUUGAGCUGUGUUUCGGACAUUUAAAUAUAAAUCAAAUAAUUCAAUGAUCACUUUGUCUUUCUAGAAGUUUCAGUUUAAUUGCAGUAAUCAAAAAGUAGUGUAAAAAUUAGAGAUGUACCGAUAUCAGUUUUGUCGCCGAUACCGACCAAAAACGCCGAUACUGAUAUUAGAAAAUGCCGAUAUUGCCGUUAUUCCGAUACCAAUAUUCCGAUACUAUGUAUUUAUCACAUCAAGUGUGCAGGGCAGACGGGUUAAAAACAAUGGUCUUUGAGCAUUAUUCAUACUACACUUUAUUCCAGAUUGAAAAAGGGAUAUACACAUGGCGUCAGUGUAUGUGCACUGACGCUAGUAACAUCGGUGUUCAAUUAGAAAACUCGUAGGCAGGGAUGUCCAAUUUGAAUUUAAUAUUAGUAUCGCGACCUUCUUAGCGCCGCCGUCCACGUUUUGAUUGAAAACAUUUCAAAUAUAUUUUGUUCAGUGUUUUAUCGUAAUCGUGUGUCGCAAUAAAUUGCAUUACCGACAUUAAAAGACUUCAAUCAACGCCGACAAGAAAUACCAAGAACACGUCGACGAUGUUUUUGAUUUUAAUAUUUUAUAGUAUUUUGCAAUUAUUAUCUGAUAUUUCGAGAUAGUGUGGGCGGCCACGGCAAUAAAUCUACCAGGAAAUUUUGUAGUGGAAGAAUUAAAAUUAAUGGGAUCACAAUAUUUAAUACUUACGAUAUCGAUGGACUAAAAUACACUCGCGCUGGACGAUGAACAUUCAGAAUUUAUAAUCGUGCCAAAAAGUGCGUGUGCUGUUGAUGAAGACUUUGAUUCUACUGUAUGAUUUAUAACUGGGAGCCGAGUUGCUCCAUUUUUUUGCUUGUCAGUAAACACCCCAAUUCCCAAGUAUAAAUACUGUAAUUCUUAUUAUAUAUACUGUAUUCGGACAUUCAGUAUCGAAAAUAUUUUUUAGAAAGUAUUCGAAAUAGUCAAUGGUUGUGGCCAUCUCUGCUCAUAAGGUUUGGCUACCAGGGUGGUAAAAUAAAUGAAUGUUUAGCCUACUUUUCUUAUCAAAUUGAUACGUGCGCGAGAUUUUGUGCCAACAUACCGACAUAUUUUACAUUUAACACAUUAGAAAAUCCACUAAUAUUUGAAUGAUAUAUUCACAAUUACUAUUUUUAUUAAAAUAAAAUUAUCAAUAUAAAAAUUUGGCAGCGAAAAUACCCAAAUUAGUUGAGCGUUUGACUGAUAGAUAGCUAAAAACAGGUCAGAAUCCUAUUCCCGUUUCUAAUCGCGGGGGUGGGGACGUGCAUGGCUCAUAGCUCACGAUCCCUCAAAGCAAAAAAUAAUUUAAAUAUCAUCAUUCAAACUGAUUUUUUUGAAACAUUCUUGAUCAUAUAAAAAAGGUCAAUAUAUCGGAAAUAUCGGUCUUCAUUUAGCCGAUACCGGUACACUACCGAUACCGAAAAUUUGGCCGACAUUGCCUAUACCGAUACAUCUCUAGUAGAAAUAGCUUUGAUAGACUAGGCUAAAAAAAUUAACGGUACUUUUAAAGAACAGAUUAUUUAAUGCUAUGAAUCAGAAUGAUGGUUUGAAACAAAUACCCCAUUUUACAGGCGCCAACUCGCAAAACUAUUCUCAAAAUAAGCACCGAAAAUUUUAC
Molecule: non-coding RNA, 4400 nt
Organism: Styela clava
Lineage: Eukaryota; Metazoa; Chordata; Ascidiacea; Stolidobranchia; Styelidae
Source: RefSeq, a predicted model, not a curated record